This 73-nucleotide transfer RNA is filed under the name Bacteroidetes bacterium CG2_30_33_31. RNAcentral describes it as "tRNA-Lys". It matches the Rfam family "tRNA". From Rfam's summary of the family: Transfer RNA (tRNA) molecules are approximately 80 nucleotides in length. Their secondary structure includes four short double-helical elements and three loops (D, anti-codon, and T loops). The record is from RNAcentral. Lineage: Bacteria; Pseudomonadati; Bacteroidota.
GAUCUCGUAGCUCAGCUGGUAGAGCAUUUGACUUUUAAUCAAAGGGUCUCGAGUUCGAAUCUCGACGGGAUCA